GAUGAACGCUAGCUACAGGCUUAACACAUGCAAGUCGAGGGGCAGCAUGGUCUUAGCUUGCUAAGGCUGAUGGCGACCGGCGCACGGGUGAGUAACACGUAUCCAACCUGCCGUCUACUCUUGGCCAGCCUUCUGAAAGGAAGAUUAAUCCAGGAUGGCAUCAUGAGUUCACAUGUCCGCAUGAUUAAAGGUAUUUUCCGGUAGACGAUGGGGAUGCGUUCCAUUAGAUAGUAGGCGGGGUAACGGCCCACCUAGUCAACGAUGGAUAGGGGUUCUGAGAGGAAGGUCCCCCACAUUGGAACUGAGACACGGUCCAAACUCCUACGGGAGGCAGCAGUGAGGAAUAUUGGUCAAUGGGCGAUGGCCUGAACCAGCCAAGUAGCGUGAAGGAUGACUGCCCUAUGGGUUGUAAACUUCUUUUAUAAAGGAAUAAAGUCGGGUAUGCAUACCCGUUUGCAUGUACUUUAUGAAUAAGGAUCGGCUAACUCCGUGCCAGCAGCCGCGGUAAUACGGAGGAUCCGAGCGUUAUCCGGAUUUAUUGGGUUUAAAGGGAGCGUAGAUGGAUGUUUAAGUCAGUUGUGAAAGUUUGCGGCUCAACCGUAAAAUUGCAGUUGAUACUGGAUGUCUUGAGUGCAGUUGAGGCAGGCGGAAUUCGUGGUGUAGCGGUGAAAUGCUUAGAUAUCACGAAGAACUCCGAUUGCGAAGGCAGCCUGCUAAGCUGCAACUGACAUUGAGGCUCNGAAGUGUGGGUACAAACAGGAUAGAUACCCUGGUAGUCACACGGUAACGAUGAUACUCGCUGUUGCGAUAUACGGCAGCGCCAAGCGAAAGCGUUAAGUAUCCACCUGGCGAUACGCCGGCAACGGUGAAACUCAAAGGAAUUGACGGGGCCCGCACAAGCGGAGGAACAUGUGGUUUAAUUCGAUGAUACGCGAGGAACCUUACCCGGGCUUAAAUUGCACUCGAAUGAUCCGGAAACGGCUCAGCUAGCAAUAGCGAGUGUGAAGGUGCUGCAUGGUUGUCGUCAGCUCGUGCCGUGAGGUGUCGGCUUAAGUGCCAUAACGAGCGCAACCCUUGUUGUCAGUUACUAACAGGUGAUGCUGAGGACUCUGACAAGACUGCCAUCGUAAGAUGUGAGGAAGGUGGGGAUGACGUCAAAUCAGCACGGCCCUUACGUCCGGGGCUACACACGUGUUACAAUGGGGGGUACAGAGGGCCGCUACCACGCGAGUGGAUGCCAAUCCCUAAAACCCCUCUCAGUUCGGACUGGAGUCUGCAACCCGACUCCACGAA
This 1293-nucleotide ribosomal RNA is filed under the name uncultured bacterium. RNAcentral describes it as "bacterial SSU rRNA". It matches the Rfam family "Bacterial small subunit ribosomal RNA", at positions 28 to 1324 of the family's 1533-position model. The record is from RNAcentral.